Long non-coding RNA from Ornithodoros turicata, 1779 nucleotides. RefSeq lists it as uncharacterized. The record is from RefSeq and is a predicted model, not a curated record. The transcript has 2 exons. NCBI's taxonomy places the organism in Eukaryota, Metazoa, Arthropoda, Arachnida, Ixodida, Argasidae.
CGCAACGUAGCCGUAUGUUCGCGCGUGAGCUGAGCUGGCCGUUUUGGGUGGUUUUGAGCGCAACAAACCAAAUAAUGUUGUUCAACGUAUUUGAAUUGUGUUUUAUUUUACACGUGCACGGGUGUGCAGCGAUAUAUAGCUCUCUGAGCAGUAUAAUCGGUUGCGGACGGAGGACAACUUUCAGCGAGAAAUGGCUUUCACACACCGACGUCCAAAUGGGACUGAUCGCAAAUUUGCAGCGGCGCUUUGUCACUUAAAAACGCUGUGUUUAGGCAGUUAUCUCAUCGACACGCUUUACUAGGAUACGUGCGUGAGCACAACGGAACUAAAAUGAUGCCAGGCUUUAGACGGUGAAUGCGUUCUGGUGUCAAGAUAUUGUAAGCAAGGUUGGCCAAGACAAGACAAACUUCCACCGCAGGUACAGGAGUACCGCAAGUACCAGGGAGAACUUUCAGUAUGUAAUGACUUGCUGAUGCGAGGUAACUGCAUCGUAGUCCCAACAUCACUUCGUCAAAAGAUUCUCCAAGUCCUGCAUGAGGGGCAUCAAGGCAUUGAACGAUGCAAGGCACGAGCAAGGGAAAGCGUCUGGUGGCCCUCUCUGGGGAAGCACAUUGCAAGUCUGGUCAGCAGGUGCCAUCUGUGUGCACAGAGUCGAAUCCAACGCAGCGAACCGCUCCUAAGCUCGAGCACACCGAGUAUCCCCCGGGAGGAAGUAGGAAUCGACAUUUUCCGUUUGAACGGCACGGACUAUCUGCUCAUCGUCGAUUACCGUUCCCGAUACCCAGAGGUGGUGUCGCUGAAAUCAACCACUUCCUCUAACGUAAUCACCGCAACGAAGAGCGUUUUCGCACGUCACGGCAUACCCAGGACUGUACGGAGCGAUAACGGCUCGCAAUCUGUAGCACGGGAAUUCGAGCAAUUGGCUUGUGUGUACGGAUUCGACCACAUGACCAGUAGCCCCAGGUAUGCGCAAUCUAAUGGCCAGGUGAAACGAACAGUACGCACGGUGAAGGGGACCCGUACCUUGCUUUAUUAGUGUAUCGGGACACCCCAGGUGUAUCAGGAUUGAGCCCGGCCCAGCUCCUGAUGGAGUGACGGCUACAGACAACUCUCCCAAGAAGUCCACACCUUUUGAAGCCUCUCUGGCGCGACAGAAAAUUUGACAAGAAUGAUAGACGAGCCAAACAGCGCCAGGCAAGCGACUUCAAUCGACGACAUGGAGUAGUGCAUCUUCGUCCUCUAACUCCUGGUGAGUGAGUCUGGGUACAGGAUGCGGAAUGUACAGGUACAGUCCUCAGCCCUGCCAGGCGACCACGUUCCUACGUUGUUGAGACCGCUACAGGGUUGCUGGAACGGAACCAAAAGCAUUUGGUUCCAUUCGAUCGGGGAGACAUCGUGGUGAACGAAAACCAUCCGCGUCUGAACCAGCAACGAUCACCUAUGGCCCGUGACAGUCCAGAAGAGAGCACGAACGCCGGACAGCAAGCAACCGCUGACCGGCCCACAACCCCUUCGAAUGAAGGACGGAGAACGAGAUAUGGAAGACUUAUUGUUGUGCCGAAGCACCUUAACUUGUAAGGAGUCUGUUUUGCUUAGACUGAGCUUUGGCAAGCAUUUAUGCGAUGUAAUUUUGUUAUCGUGAUACUUGGUUAUGUUAUCUCGGGAGAAGAGAUGUAGAGGACGCUACUAGUUAUCUUGUUAGAAACUAUAACCGCUAGUAGUAGGCGCCGAUGUUGAGGGUGUUUAAUAAAAGGAACCGGCAUGACCGGGGGGGCGUGC